UGUCAAGCGUUUUGGCGUCGUUUUGGCGAGCCGAUUUCUUUUGCCUUUGAAAAGGUGAAGGAAA
This 64-nucleotide small RNA is filed under the name uncultured Gellertiella sp. Its description in RNAcentral is "S-element". It matches the Rfam family "S-element". Rfam says of the family: This family represents a group of S-elements from p42d and related plasmids. The S-element has multiple functions and is believed to act as a negative regulator of repC transcription, be required for efficient replication and act as a translational enhancer of repC. Lineage: Bacteria; Pseudomonadati; Pseudomonadota; Alphaproteobacteria; Hyphomicrobiales; Rhizobiaceae. The record is from RNAcentral.